Molecule: long non-coding RNA, 2172 nt
Organism: Ostrinia nubilalis (European corn borer)
Lineage: Eukaryota; Metazoa; Arthropoda; Insecta; Lepidoptera; Crambidae
Exons: 4
Source: RefSeq, a predicted model, not a curated record
UAAAAAUGUUUGCAUAUAUCUAUAUUAAUAAUUUCGUCAAGGGGUACGGUAGACUGGAUCGAAACCUUAUAUGAAUAACAAAGCAUAAAAAAAUAACGAUUUUGAGUCGACAACAUAUAUCCGCAAAAUUCGGAUAAUGGAGAAUUUCGUUAAAUUCCGAUGGCAUUGACAAACAAACCGCUGUCGCCAUCUUUAGUAGUUCACCAUCCACUCACUAUGCGAUCAACGCCAAAAGCUGGGUUGUCAUCGAUCCAUAAAUAAAUGGAAAUCAGUGCGUUUCGCGAUUUUUAUGAUAAUAUACUCUUUGUUAUGUGUUUUUUCUUUAAACCUGGUAUUGGCCGAUUCAACCACAAAAAAAGAAUAUUAGCCAUAACCUUAUAUAGUUCCAAAAUACUGGACUGUCCUGUCGAUGACAUUGACAGUGGGGCGCCACCGUCAAUACCGGAUCGCUGGUUCAGAUUUUUGCCAUGUUGGAAACCAUAUAGUUGAACGAUGGUAGCGCCCCCCUGUCAUUGAGUUUGGUGGGACAGUUCAGCGUGGGUCAUCUAUAAGUUGAAGUUCAAAUGUCAAUGUCAUUUAGUUUCGCACAGUGAUAAAUUCCAGUGACAUGCAAUUUUUGUAAUGGUAAAAUAUUUGUAAGAAACUGCAAACAAAUGCUAAUGUGCAGUCGAUGUGUGGAAUGCGACAACAUUAUACUCGAUAAUUUCAAUUAUUGCGAGUGUUGUGGCUUAGAAACAAUUAGGCAGUUAAGAAUAAACAAGACUCGGGCACUAUCAAACCUUUUUCCUAAAAAGCAAAAAGCUGCUUCUGCUGCUUCACAAGAUUUAUUUGAUGACUUUCAGGUUGAUAACGAAGAGUUGACACUAAUCGAGGAUUCAUUGAUGAUUGAUGAUGCUUCUUCGGACAACAAGAAAAAACAGCUACUGUCAGUCAGCAGUGAUGAUGCUUCUUCAGACAACAAGGAAAAACAGCUGCUGUCAGUCAGCAGUGAUUUUAUUUCUUUAGAAGAAGAAGAGAAAGAAAACAUAUCAAAUGGCGGGCAGACCCCCGAAAAAACAUUUAUCCAUGGACAGUGGCAACCACGAAUAUCUCAGUCAGCGGCUGAUAAAGUAAUUGCAAGAAUGUAUAAUUAUUCCUUUUCUGAUCGGGAACGAUAUUAUCUCCGGCUAUUACUUCUUCACGUCAAAGGGCCGACUUGCUUCAGAGAUAUUAGAACUUAUUAAUAUGAAAAUAUUAUUUACACAUCAUUUCGAGAAGCUGCUCAAGCAAGGGGGCUACUUUUUGACGAUCAAGAAUGGGAAAGAUGUUUGGAUGAAGCAAUUGGUUUCAAACUUCCUCGGCAAUUACGACAGCUGUUUGCGUUAAUUUGCGUGUUUUGUGAAGUAACUGAUCCUAAUGCUCUUUGGGAAAAAAUUGCAUCACAUUUUAUCGAAAACUUUACAAGAUCCCGCCCUGAAAUAUUAUCCAAACAGUUGGCUUUACAAGAAAUUGAUGAAACAUUAAAACUCCACGGAAAGAGACUAACAGAUUUCGGACUUCCGGAGCCAGAUAUUGAUGAAAAUAGUAUUUUCUUAUCUGAUCCCGUUUCUGACUAUUAAUAAGAGUUAUUUACAUAACCUAUAUUAACGAUUGAAUUUGAUUGUUUUGUUAAUUUGUCUUAGUUUAUUUUGAAUGUUGAUUUAAAAUAAAAAUAAUUUGUGUAAAAACAUUUGCAGUUUUUAUUUACCAUAUUUAUUAAACACAACUAACGAAGCUAUAUGAAUCUAUAUUUAAUAUUCUUUGAGAACCGAUGACUACAGAAACAUCUAUCUACAUUUUGCACCUAGAAUUGUGUAUUAUGAGUCAAAUUGCACCCGAGCGAAGCCGGGUUUUCAUCUAGUUAAGGUAUAAUUGAGAAAAAAAAUAAAAACAAAAAUCACUAAAAUCAUUUUUCCUAAUUAACUGAAUGCGUUUACGAAGCGCUUAAUACGCUUAUUACGUGUAGUUUUAAGAGCUCUAUGAAGUAUUAUAACAAUUCUGAAUUAAAUAUUAUUAGUUAACGAGUGAGAAUAUUUUUGCAUAAUUUUGAAGUAAAAAAAUAGGUAACUUUGAAUUUUUAUACCGCGAAAACUACGUGGAAUUUUCAAACGGGAGUUUUACUAUCAUGUUUGUAUAACUGAGCUCUAUACGUUU